Aegilops tauschii subsp. strangulata is the source of this 1043-nucleotide non-coding RNA. Lineage: Eukaryota; Viridiplantae; Streptophyta; Magnoliopsida; Poales; Poaceae. The record is from RefSeq and is a predicted model, not a curated record.
AGCCAGCCGCCGCCACCACUCCACCAAAUCUCUCUCGGGAUCCAUCCCCUCCUCGAUUUCACACACCAGCCAACCAAAUCCAUCCCCUCCUCGAUCCACCCGUCCGCCCGAGCAGCUGCCUCGACCAUGGCUGCGUGUCCCCGUCGGCAACAUCUCCGGCCGCAGCUCCACACCACCGGAGCGCCAGGCCAGGACUCCCUCGCCCUUUCUCUUUCCUUCUUCCCUCUGUUUCCAUCCCCAUCAUCUCAUCUCUCUCUUCCUCUCCGUCUUCUCGCAGGGACCGUAAGGAGUCAGCCUUGGCCUCGUCACCGCGCCGCUCCGGCGACCAAGUCCCCACGACCCACGGCGCGUCCAACCCGCAACCGCAACGAUCCAUCCAUCUAGCUCCAGCGAGGCCCCUCCUGCCGUGCCUCGAUCUCCUCCAAGACUGGCAAGUUCCGCCGUAUGCCGUGGCCGUGGAGCUCGUCGGCGUCGUCCUCGUGCCGUCCUAGCCCAGUCGCCGUUUGCCUCCUCACUGCCUCCAGCCGUCCCCGCCGCCAAGUGCCGCCGACGACCUCCAUCUUCCUGCAUUGCGCAAGUCCCGCGCCCCUGCUUCCCUGCGUCCCCUGCUUCAGGUCAAGAUGCUCGCUCGAUCCCCUGCGCUGCCUCGAGCCACCGCAGCUCGCUCGAGUACAUCCCCGCUGCCGGUCCUCUUCCACAGUGCGCCGGCGCCACCAUGCCUCGUUUUGACCUGAAUUGCCACCAGAUCCGGCCAUCUCCGGCGCCUACUCGCUGGUUCCCACCGACCCCGUCGCCAGAACCUCCCCGGCGCCGUCUUCUGCAUCGCCGUGAACCUGCCGCUGCUUCUGUUGCUCGUUCUUCAGUAACGAGCAGAGCAUCUCGCCCGCCCCUCGCCCGUUGACCGAUCCGGCUGCUCGUGGGUCGCGCCAGGCCCAGCUCUGCCAGGCCACUCUUCGGUUUCGUUCCGGAGUUGUGAGGAUUCGUUCGACUACGUCCGUUUGUCUACUUCAUGGACUCGUUCUUCUUCCUUGCGGGAUCUCAGG